AACGAACGCUGGCGGCAGGCUUAACACAUGCAAGUCGAACGGGUGUAGCAAUACAUCAGUGGCAGACGGGUGAGUAACACGUGGGAACCUUCCUAGGGGGUACGGAACAACUCAGGGAAACUUGAGCUAAUACCGUAUACGUCCGUGAGGAGAAAGAUUUAUCGCCCUUAGACGGGCCCGCGUCGGAUUAGCUGGUUGGUGGGGUAACGGCCUACCAAGGCGACGAUCCGUAGCUGAUCUUAGAGGAUGAUCAGCCACACUGGGACUGAGACACGGCCCAGACUCCUACGGGAGGCAGCAGUGGGGAAUCUUGGACAAUGGGCGCAAGCCUGAUCCAGCCAUGCCGCGUGAGUGAAGAAGGUCUUCGGAUUGUAAAGCUCUUUUGCCAGGGACGAUAAUGACGGUACCUGGAGAAUAAGCCCGGCAAACUUCGUGCCAGCAGCCGCGGUAAU
RNAcentral lists this ribosomal RNA (452 nucleotides) under uncultured bacterium. RNAcentral's name for it is "bacterial SSU rRNA". It matches the Rfam family "Bacterial small subunit ribosomal RNA", at positions 29 to 524 of the family's 1533-position model. The record is from RNAcentral.